RNAcentral lists this ribosomal RNA (244 nucleotides) under uncultured bacterium. RNAcentral's name for it is "partial 16S ribosomal RNA". It matches the Rfam family "Bacterial small subunit ribosomal RNA", at positions 528 to 772 of the family's 1533-position model. The record is from RNAcentral.
UAGGUGGCGAGCGUUAUCCGGAUUUAUUGGGCGUAAAGUGUCCGCAGCCGGUUUAUUAAGUCUAAGAUUAAAGCCCGAAGCUUAACUUCGGUUCGUUUUAGAAACUGAUAGACUCGAGUGUGGUAGAGGCAAGUGGAACUUCUAGUGUAGCGGUAAAAUGCGUAGAUAUUAGAAAGAACACCAGUGGCGAAGGCGACUUGCUGGGCCACCACUGACGGUCAGGGACGAAAGCGUGGGGAGCAAA